AAUUCUAAUCGCAUACAACUUUGCUCAUACCUCAGCUGUUCGAUUCUUGUCAAAGUGAUUGAAAACUCGUGUUGUGUAAAAUUUCCUUGCGCAUAUAAAUUAUUGAUCGUAUUCAGAUUUCAUAAAUUUUUGGCUACAUUUAACUUAAACAGAGCAAAAUGGCAUUAUCACCUGGUGUAAAGGAACGUUUAGAAGUGGUUUAUGAUGUCGCAAAGACCACGUUCCACUGGGGUUUCAUUCCAAUGGUUAUUUACUUGGGUUUCCGUAAGGGCGCUGAACCCGGCAUGCCACCACUGUCGAUAUUGAGCUUGCUUUGGCAAUAAAUCACUCUUUUCUAUCUUUACGGGGGGAUUCAUAAGUGGACACAUCGUACCGAAGUGUUCUCGGUAAUGAUUACGUGCUUUACUGAACUAAGAAAAUUUGUAUUCAUAUGGAAUCCAAUUCAUAUUUGAGAAACAAAUUGAUAAGAAGAAAACUGAAGUGAUAAAACUGAUUGAGUAACCUCCAGGAAAAUUUUAGUGUAAUCUCGGCUGUCAAAAUUACUUUUUAUAUAUGAACCGAUACUUCUAAUUUGAGGAAUUACUCAUUUUCUUAAGUAAACGUUAACAUGGUACCACCACAAUUUGUUUCCCUGAAUUGGCAUUCAUCCUGUUCUGAUAUUCACUGCAUUAUAAAAGUUUUUAGUUCCAUUAUUAAUUUCCAACUUGUCAAAGAAAAUAAUAGAUGUUUAAAUUUUUUUCCUUAACGCAUUGUUUUGAGGCAGUUUAACAAUACUUUGUGCACAUAGUUAAAAGUACGGUUAUCUUUGUAUUUGCUAUUUCCGUUCUUAACUUUUAACCCUUGUACCUCAAUACAUCCUUGUACAAGUAACUGAAAGUCAGUUACAUAUAAAAGCUUAUUAGAAAUGACUAAAUAUAUUAAUGAGAGCAUAGUGAA
Bactrocera oleae (olive fruit fly) is the source of this 936-nucleotide non-coding RNA. Lineage: Eukaryota; Metazoa; Arthropoda; Insecta; Diptera; Tephritidae. The record is from RefSeq and is a predicted model, not a curated record.